This 253-nucleotide ribosomal RNA is filed under the name uncultured bacterium. RNAcentral's name for it is "partial 16S ribosomal RNA". It matches the Rfam family "Bacterial small subunit ribosomal RNA", at positions 524 to 776 of the family's 1533-position model. The record is from RNAcentral.
UACGAAGGGGGCUAGCGUUGUUCGGAAUUACUGGGCGUAAAGGGCGCGUAGGCGGCCAUAAUAGUCGGGCGUGAAAGCCCCGGGCUCAACCUGGGAACUGCGUUCGAUACUGUAUGGCUUGAGGGUGGGAGAGGAUAGUGGAAUUCCGAGUGUAGAGGUGAAAUUCGUAGAUAUUCGGAGGAACACCAGUGGCGAAGGCGACUAUCUGGACCAUUACUGACGCUGAGGCGCGAAAGCGUGGGGAGCAAACAGG